RNAcentral lists this long non-coding RNA (336 nucleotides) under Phaseolus vulgaris (common bean). RNAcentral's name for it is "long non-coding RNA (PVUL_LNC002755)". The record is from RNAcentral. Lineage: Eukaryota; Viridiplantae; Streptophyta; Magnoliopsida; Fabales; Fabaceae.
AUAUCAGUUGCAGGACAACCAUUUGGUGUUUGACGUGGCUUCCUCUAAAUUAAGCUUCAGUUCUUCGCUUUUGCUCCACAAUGCCACGUGUUCUCACUCUUGAAUGAGAUGUGCUUUUGACGCGUUGAAGUUAGCCACGUUCAAGAAUAUGUAGUAGCUUCUAUCAUUUAAUGUUUUGAGGAUAAUUGAAGAAUAAAUGUUUGCUUUGUUGUAAAUGGAAACACACCUUAGUGUUUUCAUGUGUGCCAUUUAGAAGGGAAGGCAUUUUUAUAAGAUUGAUAGAGAACUUCUGUAAGCUGUGGGCAGCAUCUGCUCAAUUCCUGAAGAUGUAGAACU